AUACGUAGGUGGCAAGCGUUGUCCGGAUUUAUUGGGCGUAAAGCGAGCGCAGGCGGUUUCUUAAGUCUGAUGUGAAAGCCCUCGGCUCAACCGGGGAGGGUCAUUGGAAACUGGGAGACUUGAGUGCAGAAGAGGAGAGUGGAAUUCCAUGUGUAGCGGUGAAAUGCGUAGAUAUAUGGAGGAACACCAGUGGCGAAGGCGGCUCUCUGGUCUGUAACUGACGCUGAGGCUCGAAAGCGUGGGGAGCAAACAGGAUUAGAUACCCUGGUAGUCCACGCCGUAAACGAUGAGUGCUAAGUGUUGGAGGGUUUCCGCCCUUCAGUGCUGCAGCAAACGCAUUAAGCACUCCGCCUGGGGAGUACGGCCGCAAGGCUGAAACUCAAAGGAAUUGACGGGG
Molecule: ribosomal RNA, 397 nt
Filed under: uncultured bacterium
Lineage: Bacteria
Description: partial 16S ribosomal RNA
Rfam family: Bacterial small subunit ribosomal RNA
Source: RNAcentral